Molecule: ribosomal RNA, 577 nt
Filed under: uncultured marine bacterium
Lineage: Bacteria
Description: bacterial SSU rRNA
Rfam family: Bacterial small subunit ribosomal RNA
Source: RNAcentral
AUGCAAGUCGAACGAGGUAGCAAUACUUAGUGGCAGACGGGUGAGUAACAUGUGGGUAUCUGCCCUUUGGCCUGGAAUAACACGAGGAAACUUGUGCUAAUACCAGAUAAGUCUUUACGGAGAAAGCUUUAUGCACCAUUGGAUGAGCCUGCACUUGAUUAGUUUGUUGGUGGGGUAAUGGCCUACCAAGACUGUGAUCAAUAGCUGAUUUGAGAGGAUGAUCAGCCACAUUGGGACUGAGACACGGCCCAAACUCCUACGGGAGGCAGCAGUGGGGAAUCUUGCACAAUGGAGGAAACUCUGAUGCAGCGAUGCCGCGUGAGUGAAGAAGGCCUUUGGGUUGUAAAGCUCUUUCGUCGGGGAAGAAAAUGACUGUACCCGAAUAAGAAGGUCCGGCUAACUUCGUGCCAGCAGCCGCGGUAAUACGAAGGGACCUAGCGUAGUUCGGAAUUACUGGGCUUAAAGAGUUCGUAGGUGGUUGAAAAAGUUGGUGGUGAAAUCCCAGAGCUUAACUCUGGAACUGCCAUCAAAACUUUUCAGCUAGAGUUUGAUAGAGGAAAGCAGAAUUUCUAGUGUA